RNAcentral lists this transfer RNA (73 nucleotides) under Canis lupus familiaris (dog). It matches the Rfam family "tRNA". Rfam says of the family: Transfer RNA (tRNA) molecules are approximately 80 nucleotides in length. Their secondary structure includes four short double-helical elements and three loops (D, anti-codon, and T loops). RNAcentral also lists the same sequence under 3 other names. Lineage: Eukaryota; Metazoa; Chordata; Mammalia; Carnivora; Canidae. The record is from Rfam by way of RNAcentral.
GCCUGGCUGGCUCAGUUGGUAGAGUGUGAAACUCUUGAUCUUGGAGUUGUGGGUUCAAGCCCCAAGAUGGGUA